UCUGUCUCAAAAAAAAAAAAAAAAGGAAUAAAUUCAGUUUAUGUAAUAAUUAUAGUAUUAUCCUACUUCAUCUUUGGUGACUUCUGAUAGUUCGAGGUUCUCUAGGAAUUGGCAUAUUUUAUUUAUGUUGUUGAACAUAUGUGAUUUGUUGGUAAUACUUUUUUUAAGUUAUGCUUUUCAUUUUUGUGGUUUGUGUAGUAAUAUCUGCUUUUAUUGUCGACAUUGGUAAUUUGUGUCUACUUUCUUCUUUUUCUUGUGAAUAUCAGUGGAGAUUGAUCAAUUUUUAAAGUCUUUUCAACUAACUAUGUUUUGAUUUCUAAAAUUUUCUCUAGGAUUUUAAAUUUAUAAUUUUAUUGAUUUUUGUUUCUGUCUUCAUUUUACCCUCCAUUUGCUUAGUUAUAGUUCCUUAGGAUGAAUGUUCUGGCUAUUUACUUGAAAUCAUUUUUCUUUUGUAAUAUGAGCAUUUAAUAUUAAUUUCUAUGUAUUUAAUUAGCUGCAUAUCACAUACACUUAUUUGUAAUAUUUUCAUUUUAAUUCAGUUAAAAAUAUUUUCUAAUUUUCCUUGACAUUUUCACUUUGUACUAUAGAUUCUUAAGAAAGUAUUAAAUUUCCAAGUGUUUAGUGAUUUUUCCUGCUAUCUUUCUUUUACCAAUUUCUAGUUUAAUUCUAUAAUGUUCAGAGAACAUACUCUGUAUGAGUUCUAUUAUCUAAAUGACGUAAGAUUUGUUCUAUUAUCCAGAAUAUGGUCUACUUUGGUGCUGUGGUUUGAAUGUGUCCUCAAAAAGGGAAGUGUUGGAAACUUAAUCCUCAAUGCAACAGUGUUGAGAGGUGGGGCCUAAUGGGAUGUGUUUAGGUCACCAGGGCUCUACCGUCAUUAAUGAAUUAAUACCACUUAUAAAAGGGUUUGAGGCUGUAAAUGUUCUCUCACUCUCUCACACAUGCUCUCUUUUCUUUUUUCCUUACAUCAUGGGAUGAGGCAGCAUGAAGGCCCUCACCAGAUGUAGCCUUCUCAACAUUGAACUUCUCAGCCUCCAGUACUGUAGUAAAUAAAUACCUGCUUUUUAAAAAUUACUUAGUGUCAAGUAUUUUGUUAUAGCAGCACAAAAUAGAAUAAGACAAGGCAAAUUAAAGGUUUAGUAAGCUAAGUGUUCAAGAACACAUGACAAAAACGUGCCUGCUACUAUUGUUGGGUGGCAUUCUAUAAAUGAAAUUAAAUCCAGUUGGUGAGAGUUGAAGUCUCCAACUACAAUUGUAGAUUUUGUCUAGUUCCUUUUGCUAUGUCAGUUUUUCCUUCCUUUAUGUCUUCUUGAUUUUUUUUCAUUUAAAAUUGUGUAAUUUCCCUAUAUGUUUUUUGUAACUUUCUUUGCUCUCAAUUCUACUUUGACUGACAUUUUUAUAAACCAUCAGAUUUUUGGUCUUGUUUGGAUUAUUGUUGGCAUAGUGUGACAUUUGUGACACACACACACACACACACACAUAUAUUUCCCUCUAUUUUCAUUUUAAACUACCAGUAUCAUUACAUUAGAAGUCAGUUUUUUAUAUAUAGAAUCUAGUUGGAUCAUGAUUUUUAAAAAUUCAUUCUGAUAAUAUGUGUGAGUUAAUUUGUGUGUCCAGACAAUUUACACUUAAUAUGAUUAUUGCUAUGUUUGAUGUAGCUCUACAUUUUUUUAUUUACCUCUUUUUACUUGUCUUUCACCUUUCUUAUUUUCUUUUUGUUGAUUUACACAUUUUAUUUUUUCAUUUUAAUUUAUUAUUGGGUGUUUGACCAUAUCCCUUUGUAUAGUUUUGGAUUUUUUUGUUUUGUUUUUAUUUUGUUUUGCUUUUGUGAUUUCUCUAGUUUUUACAGUGUACAUAUUUAGCUCUUUAUGAUUCAUUUUAAAUCAGCAUUUUACCACUUCAAGUGGAAGAUUGGAAACUUACCAUGAUAUAGGUAUUUUACUUGCCUUUUUGUAUAUUGUAGAUAUCAUAUAUUACAUCUACAUACAUUGCAAACUCCAUUAGUAAAUAGGUUUUUCAUUCCCACGUGUGUUGAGAUUUUCCUGAUCUUCCCUAUGUCUAAAAAUUUUUAAUUGUAUCCUGCAUAUUUUGAAUGUCAUGUUAUGAGCCAUUUGGUCUUGUUUAAAUUAUAUGUACUUGUUUGUUGUAGUAGGCAAUUAACUGAUAUUGAUUUUGGUCACAAGUUCCAACCUGUAUGCUGUGGCUCCAAUUUCAGUUUACUUUUUCAAGAUUUUCUGUGCUAUUUAAAUCUUUCCUGUAUGCGGGUCAUCCAGUGGCAAGUCUGGGACAUAAGUGAUAGUUUAUAUCUGUGUCCAGUUUUCAAAGUGUGCAGUUUAAGAUCAGAUCCAUGCAUACUCAAAUCAGGGUUGAACCCACAAGAUUAACAAGCAAGUUUAUAGAUCACUUUCCUAAGCUUUUCUCUUUCUGUAAUCUUUUUGGUUCUUUCUGAUUUUCUUGGGGCUUGCUUUUAUAUCCCCCAGUCAGGGAGCUGGACUGUAUUUAACCCUAUUUGUUAAAUUCUUAAUUCCAUUGCAACCAUUGUUGAGGCCAAAUGGCAGAAGGACAAAAAUAGUAAAAGCAAUGAACGUUUACCUCAUCUUAAUACCACAACUUCUCUGAUCUAAGAACUUUCCCCUCCUUAAGAGUUUUAGGUAACUGCAGGCCCAUGCUACAGCCAUCAUUACCAUCCAAAGUCCUCUUUCCCACUCCUCAAACUGGAACCAGAAGACAUCUCCUGCAGCUCUCUCUUUCUUCAUUGGUACUCACUUCCAGGUUUUAAGCAGCUCUGAGAUCAGGUUGGCAGAUACCACACAGGUAGAUAUAAAUGAUAAGUUCACAGUCAUUUCAGUGUUACUUUGUAUUUUGACUUUCUUUUCUAAUCCAUCUGCUAAUAUUUAGGUUUUGGAGUCUUCUAGUACUUGCUCCAUGCAUCUAUCCAGAUUUUAUAACAGUAUUCAGUGAAAGAGUCAGGAUAAGGAGUGCUUACUUUAUGUUGCCUAAAACUAAAAUUUCAAUGAUUUUAUUUUAAUUUAAAAACUUUAAUUAAAUUCUUUGUUUUGUGGAAUACCUUCCACAUAGUAAGUAUUUACUGCAUAUUAGUUGGAAAGAAUUUAGCUGUUUUAUAGAAAUGAAAACGUCACUACUGAAGUUAUUAAAUCUAUUCAGCAGUGGGCUUCCCGAUUUCAAUGAUGCAACUGUGGCUCCAUGGAUGCAAUAAAUUGUCUUUCAUCUGAUGGACCUCCUUUUAGAACGCUGCAGUCAUGUCUCCUAAGGUUUAUUUGUAGUGCUCAUAGCUGAGUGACAUAAUGUCAUCAAAAGAUUAAUUAAGCAAGUGAGAUGGCAGUCCCAACUUCUGCCACACUGAUUUGGAUUUCAUACCUUGUACAUAUUACCUUGACUGGAAAGGGAAUGAGGAGGUAGAGGAGCUAUUUUUUGUUUAAUUUUUCAAUGCAGAGUUGCUCUUUCAUUUUUCCUCCAUUUCUCCAAGAUUUUCCACUUUUCGGAGAUUGUUGAGGACUGACAAACUCAGUGUUACAAUGUGCAUUUCCCAUGUCAGCCAGAGGCUACUGCCUGAAGGUCUCUGACAGAAAUCAGUGUGCUCAGAAUGCUGCCAGGCCCCAGGCAGGAAAGGUACAUACCUCUGUGUACCCUGUGGAGCACCCAGAGCUGCCAGGAACAAACGAGUAUGAGAGAAAAAUGCUAGUCACAGAGGUAUUUAGCUUCUAUUUAAAGGGUCCAUAUAAGCAAGACAUAUUAAAAGGUCAUAAAAUAUAUACAAAGUUUUCAGGGUCCUAGUUUUUGAAAUAUUCUAUUUUUUGUGGUUUUUGACAAAGUCUAAUAUUAUUCUGUAAGAUAGUUUGAUGUUUCAAGAAACGUUAUAACAGCGUAUUAUUCUUUAAAAUGACAAUCAUUUUGAAGAGGGCAAAUAGCUGGCUAUGUGAAAUUCCAAAGAAACAACCACACAUCUGUCCACAUGAAAAACAAGUUGCUGGAAUGUAUAAGUAUUUUGAUGGAUUUUAGAUUUAUCUCCUCAUAUGCUAUCAAUUUUGAGAUUUUAACGCCAAACUAGCAUUUCUCUUUAUUGACAACAAUUGUUAUAAUAAUCAGUUGCAUGUAUGUGUGAGAAAGAGACACAAUAAGUAAAAUAAUUGUAUGACUUUAUACCUUGUCAUUCUUUUUGAAUUUUAGACAUGGUUUCCCUUUAUCGCUGAAGCUGGAAUACAGGGAUUAUAGCUCACUGCAGCCUUCGGCUCCUGGGCUCAAGUGAUAAUCUUGCCUCGGUAUCCCAAGUUGCUGAGUACCUGAGACUAAAGGUUUAUACUCACCUGUCCAUCAUGUGGAAGCUGGAGAGUCACUUCUUUUGAUAAUUCAAGAAUCUUGGGAUACUUCAGAGAACAAUUCUCAAACAACAACUUCAAACUGACAGACAGACUUCAAGGAACUAUGCAGGAUAGAUGGGUGGCCAAAUGACAAGCUUGGAAAGCUACAAGGGAGUGCUACCUGCUCCUCUCCGUCCAUUCUUUGCUCUCUACUCUGAACUCCAUGUCUUCCACCAAGGUUCACUUCACCACUGUGUCAUUAAAAUGUUCAGUACCAAUAUGCAGACUGUCCGCAAUGAUAGGUAUAAACUGUUCAAGAAGACACCCAUUUCUAGCAAAAUUUCUGACUCCUUUCAAAAUAAAAAUUGGCCCUCUUACAGUAAUUUCACACUGAUAUAUGGCAGGGAUUAAUCCAAAAUGCCUGCAUAUAUUCAGGAUAGCUUUCCUGAGUUGAUUGGCCUUUGACUGUGAAAUUUUAACUACAAAAAUCAAGUUUAUGAAUCAUAUUUGUAUGUACAAAGACAUUCACUGUCAACUGACCUGUGAAAACAUAAAUCAUAUUACCAGUAUGGGGAUUAUUAUUAUAAAAGAAAUCUUUAUGUAGAGAAGAAUUACUAAUGAG
This 4938-nucleotide long non-coding RNA is filed under the name Homo sapiens (human). RNAcentral's name for it is "HSALNT0348230". The record is from RNAcentral. Lineage: Eukaryota; Metazoa; Chordata; Mammalia; Primates; Hominidae.